Molecule: transfer RNA, 76 nt
Filed under: Bacteriophage sp.
Description: tRNA-Thr
Rfam family: tRNA
About the family: Transfer RNA (tRNA) molecules are approximately 80 nucleotides in length.
Source: RNAcentral
GCUGGAUUAGCUCAGUUGGUAGAGCGAUUGAUUUGUAAUCAAUAGGUCGGGGGUUCGAAUCCGUCAUCCAGCUCCA